This 23-nucleotide microRNA is filed under the name Homo sapiens (human). RNAcentral describes it as "hsa-miR-6772-3p". Lineage: Eukaryota; Metazoa; Chordata; Mammalia; Primates; Hominidae. The record is from miRBase by way of RNAcentral.
UUGCUCCUGACUCUGUGCCCACA